GACGAACGCUGGCGGCGUGCUUAACACAUGCAAGUCGAACGGUAAGGCUCCAGCUUGCUGGGGUACACGAGUGGCGAACGGGUGAGUAACACGUGGGUGACCUGCCCUGCACUUCGGGAUAAGCCUGGGAAACUGGGUCUAAUACCGGAUAGGACCGCACCGUGAGGGUGUGGUGGAAAGUUUUUUCGGUGUGGGAUGGGCCCGCGGCCUAUCAGCUUGUUGGUGGGGUAAUGGCCUACCAAGGCGGCGACGGGUAGCCGGCCUGAGAGGGUGGACGGCCACAUUGGGACUGAGACACGGCCCAGACUCCUACGGGAGGCAGCAGUGGGGAAUAUUGCACAAUGGGCGGAAGCCUGAUGCAGCGACGCCGCGUGGGGGAUGACGGCCUUCGGGUUGGAAACUCCUUUCACCAUCGACGAAGGGUUUCUGACGGUAGAUGGAGAAGAAGCACCGGCUAACUACGUG
Molecule: ribosomal RNA, 465 nt
Filed under: uncultured bacterium
Lineage: Bacteria
Description: partial 16S ribosomal RNA
Rfam family: Bacterial small subunit ribosomal RNA
Source: RNAcentral